RNAcentral lists this long non-coding RNA (1236 nucleotides) under Coturnix japonica (Japanese quail). RNAcentral's name for it is "lncRNA (ENSCJPG00005008687.1)". The record is from RNAcentral. Lineage: Eukaryota; Metazoa; Chordata; Aves; Galliformes; Phasianidae.
UGGUUGUGUUUAAUGGAAGUGGUAUUCUGAUAUUCUGGAUGUAGAGAAAUGAAAGAAUUUGUGGUUCCAACACCCUUACAUCUGUUUCUAUCUUAAACACAAAACUGCCUAAGACACUGUUAUUUGUAUUUAAGUGCAGGUCUGAACACGCUAUAACAGCUCAAAGAAUCAAAUCCAUGUUUUUCCAUACCUUACUGUCUGCUCCUCAUAAAACAUCAUGUUUUGUUCAGUCCUUUACAUUGUAUAAACCAAGUGAUGUUGUAUUGAAAGUUUAUUGUCCUGCGUUGUAAAGCUGCAGGCAUGUUUCUCCUGGGAAGAUCAUGAUUUACGUGAUGAAAAGAAAGGGAUUUUAGUGUCUUAGAUGUACUGAUUCACAAUCUGACUACUAGGGGUUCUUGUUUGCCUGGCUUUGCUCUAGUUUAUGUGAUGGUGAACUUGUGCUGAAACGAGGUGCACUGUGAGAGCAGACUGUAAAAGAACAUAUGUCCAGUAAAAAUCAUGGACAGAGAUGUACUAGGUGGGUUUGUUUUCAAGGUACAGAGUUAGUUAUAAGUCCUAAAACCAGUAUUACCUGACAUGUGAACAGAAACAAAAUUCAUGUUAAAUGUACCUGACAGCUGAGGUACAUAAACCUGCUUCCUAGCUGUCAGGUAUUCAAGGGUGAAGAAAGAAUAAGUGCUGGGAAGUAUAAAUAUGAACUAAACCAGGAAUUUUUAAAUGCUCAGCUUUCAGGGUGAUGCAGAGGUGUGAAGCUAGGCAGGUAGAUGAGGUAGGUUCCCUGGAGAGAGCACCAAGGAGAGAGAAGCAGCAGAAUUCCCACUGGAGUCCCUUUGUUUCUGUUGCUAGUAGCUAACAUCCACCAGCAACAGGCACAGAAACAUCGUUCUGCUUCCCUUAAUCCUAACGUCUGGAAUUGAGGAAGAUUGAGUUCAACUGCUCUGCAAACAAAACAGAAGGGCCCAUCCAGGACAGCAAUAAGAUGGCCAGAAUCCCUCCUCUGUGUGUUGUGUCUGUUCUUAUCCUCUGGGCAGCCACACAGCAGGGAAAGGGGAAUGAAAUCACAGGUUGUACAUAUAUCAUUUGUUUAGCUGGAAAGCUAAAUGUGACAAAAGCAGAGGAGUCCUAACAACCUGAAGAAUGGUUUCUUUGGUUUCUUCUUUUUACAUUUUUCAUCUUCUUUGGAAAAAGGUAAGCUGUGCAAAUAAAAUAAGGCCUAAGUAUUUUAAUUCUAUGCUU